GGAAAGGCACACAUUAGGAAGUGGAAGGGGAAUGGGAAAGGGGGGAAGAAACAAGAUGUGGUAACUGACGUGUUCCAUUGAAGACUGAAUUAUUAUUGAGGGUAGGGUUCUAUAUUUUGUCCUUUUGGUGAUGUAACAUUGAAUUGGAAGCUUAUUAUUAUUAUUAUUAUUAUUUCAAUACCUUUAUUUUUUCCAUAA
Long non-coding RNA from Telopea speciosissima, 198 nucleotides. RefSeq lists it as uncharacterized. The transcript has 5 exons. The record is from RefSeq and is a predicted model, not a curated record. NCBI's taxonomy places the organism in Eukaryota, Viridiplantae, Streptophyta, Magnoliopsida, Proteales, Proteaceae.